GCGGGUCCACCAUCAGGGUGCAUUGCAAUUCUGGGCCCUGAGAUGGAAAGGUGUGAUUCAUGGGUUAUGAAAGGGGUGGGCUUUUGUGGACAGGGUUUUGGCUGUGCACUCAGGGAUUAUUAAGUAAUGGCUGUGUGUGCAUGGGGCCUUUUUUUUAGUUUUCCAUUUUAAUUGUUGACCCACCAGCCAUGGGGCUCAGGAGGCAGAUGGGCUUAUUUUUGGGACCCGCAGCUCUGCUGUUGUAUCUCAGAUAGUCUCUGAAUAUAAUAUGGUCGACGGGCCAGCCUUCGGCAGUUUUAACCCAUAUGAGCUCUCUGCUGCCACCAAGUGGCCAGCAUCUCCUAUAAAUACCUGCUCAGAAGACCUACCUGUCCUUUAUGAAAUGGCUGCUGUGAAAGCUCCAGGUAUCUUACACACACAGGUCAUCUGUAUACGGGGGUCUCUGAUGCAAAUAAUACACAUGUGCAAACAACUGCGACACAGGCUUCAAACAGUUUCUGCCAACUGAAGUUGUAUAACCAUACAGUAAAGAAAAGAAAAACUACUAUGAAAUGGAUAUAAAGAGAGAAGACCAAACUGCUGAUACAUCAAACAAUGAAAAAAUAACUACAGAAACUGCCAAAGGUCUGAGAGGAAGACUGCUCACUGGAACAGAUUCAAUGCUGCCUUCCCAUCACAAUGAAGAUUUCCUGUCAAUGGUCUAUCAAAUUUGUAUUUUUUGGAAAUGUCUGUUUUUGAAAUUGUAUAUUUUGGUUAUUGUAUGUAUUAAACCUUUUACAAAAUAA
Long non-coding RNA from Xenopus laevis (African clawed frog), 785 nucleotides. RefSeq lists it as uncharacterized. The transcript has 6 exons. NCBI's taxonomy places the organism in Eukaryota, Metazoa, Chordata, Amphibia, Anura, Pipidae. The record is from RefSeq and is a predicted model, not a curated record.